CCCUUAGAUGUUCUGGGCCGCACGCGUGCUACACUGAGUGGAUCAGCGGGUCAGGUUGCGCGAAAGCGUUUCCUAAUCUUUAAAUCCGCUCGUGAUGGGGAUUGACGGUUGCAAUUUUCUGUCAUGAACGAGGAAUACCUUGUAAGCGCGGGUCAUCAUCCCGCGCUGAAUACGUCCCUGCCCUUUGUACACACCGCCCGUCGCACCUACCGAUUGAAUGGUCCGGUGAAGCCUCGGGAUUGUGGCCAGUUCACUUUAUUGGGAGUUGGCUGCGAGAACUUGUCUAAACCUUAUCAUUUAGAGGAAGGUGAAGUCGUAACA
Molecule: ribosomal RNA, 321 nt
Filed under: uncultured eukaryote
Lineage: Eukaryota
Description: partial 18S ribosomal RNA
Rfam family: Eukaryotic small subunit ribosomal RNA
Source: RNAcentral